AGAGUUUGAUCAUGGCUCAGGAUGAACGCUAGCUACAGGCUUAACACAUGCAAGUCGAGGGGAAACGACAUCGAAAGCUUGCUUUUGAUGGGCGUCGACCGGCGCACGGGUGAGUAACGCGUAUCCAACCUGCCCACCACUUGGGGAUAACCUUGCGAAAGUAAGACUAAUACCCAAUGACGUCUCUAGAAGACAUCUGAAGGAGAUUAAAGAUUUAUCGGUGAUGGAUGGGGAUGCGUCUGAUUAGCUUGUUGGGCGGGGUAACGGCCCACAAGGCGACGAUCAGGUAGGGGUUCUGAGAGGAACGGUCCCCCCANAUUGGAACUGAGACACGGUCCAAACUCCGUACGGGAGGCA
Molecule: ribosomal RNA, 357 nt
Filed under: uncultured bacterium
Lineage: Bacteria
Description: bacterial SSU rRNA
Rfam family: Bacterial small subunit ribosomal RNA
Source: RNAcentral